GGGUGAAUGGCGAAAUUGGUAGACGCGCUGGCCUCAAAAGCCGGUGCCCGCAAGGGCGUGUGGGUUCGAGUCCCACUUCAUCUAC
Molecule: transfer RNA, 85 nt
Filed under: Mycobacterium phage Phabba
Lineage: Duplodnaviria; Heunggongvirae; Uroviricota; Caudoviricetes
Description: tRNA-Leu
Rfam family: tRNA
About the family: Transfer RNA (tRNA) molecules are approximately 80 nucleotides in length. Their secondary structure includes four short double-helical elements and three loops (D, anti-codon, and T loops). Further hydrogen bonds mediate the characteristic L-shaped molecular structure. tRNAs have two regions of fundamental functional importance: the anti-codon, which is responsible for specific mRNA codon recognition, and the 3' end, to which the tRNAs corresponding amino acid is attached (by aminoacyl-tRNA synthetases). tRNAs cope with the degeneracy of the genetic code in two manners: having more than one tRNA (with a specific anti-codon) for a particular amino acid; and 'wobble' base-pairing, i.e. permitting non-standard base-pairing at the 3rd anti-codon position.
Source: RNAcentral